Molecule: long non-coding RNA, 2490 nt
Organism: Mustela erminea (ermine)
Lineage: Eukaryota; Metazoa; Chordata; Mammalia; Carnivora; Mustelidae
Exons: 3
Source: RefSeq, a predicted model, not a curated record
CCACCUGCAAGAUAGGGUGUUCGCGGCCAAGUCCCCAGCUCUGGCUGUGGCGUUUUCGCUGCGCGGGCAACCUGCCCGCCUCGUUCGUCAGCACUGUGACCAGAGCGAGGCCAGGGCUGGGGUGACCCUCCUGAGGGCCGCCCCCCUAAUCACCCGUCCAAAGUUUUUUGUCAGUCGCGAGGUCAGCGGGACCUGCCCAGAGGGCAGGCGGAAGCGGACCGUGCCGCGGCCAUGACGGCUCUUAGCCGCUUCCCUCAGCUGGGGAGGGACCCGCGCUUUCCCCCGGUUUAUCCCUGGGCGCCCUGCGCCGCUGCCGGCGGCACGUGGGGGCCUUGAGUCCGGAGCAGGGCGGACAGGAGCGCCUCUUGGAGCCAAAGAUGGAGGCAGCGCCGGGUUUGGGUGUGGGCUGGGCCUCGCCGUCACCUCGGCAUUUCUGUUGCCAGGGUUGGAAGAGUCCGCUGGUUAGUGGGCCCCUUGCCCGCGGGUGUAGGCUCCAAAUGGUCCCCCGACAUUUUCACAGCGUUCCUCCUCUCCCGACCCCCCGCCCACGGGAGCUGGAAGUUGCAGGACUUUUGUUGGCCACUAUUUGGGCUGGGGUUGGGCUGGGAGGGGCGGUGUAGACGGUUUACAGCCCUUCACGGCUGGGGGUGAUGAAGCGGGACCCGCCACGAGAUUUGAGCGGCCCAGUGCAAAAGGAAAAUGCCAGAUUCCUUGUUCAUGAGUUACUAAGAGUCCCAAAACGGUGGUAAGCAGAGCAUUAGACCCAGAGCCGACCCCUGCGACUGCGCAGGUUGUGGCCGGUGAACCUGUCGCGAUGCUUCCGAGACUUCCGGCCCGCGCCAGGUGCUGGAAACCUCCUUUACAAAGGGCUCCGGUGUGCUUCGGCUUCUUAGUUUUCAGGCUUCUUAGUUUUCAUUGUCACUGCCGUUUCCCCUCCCCAGUGCUUUUGGAUGGAUCUUCGUCACCGUCCUAGGGUUGCUCACCACCCUCAAGCUUAAAAACCCAGCCAAGACCCUUUGACGGGCAUCUUUAAGGGCUGAGUUGAAGGAUGGGGCUGUCUUUUCCCCUGGCGUCUUCCUCUGAAGCUGGCAAAGUGAUGGAGACAUCGUACUGAUUGUCUGAAAGCAACCCCGGAGUCCCGACCUCCUGGGAAGAUCUGUGGAAGAAACAGGGAACGCUUCGCUCAUCUCCCAGCUUUGUGUCUGCCCUUGCUCCAAAGGAGGGGUUCUCCGAGUGCAAGUUUUGGCCAAGUUCCCACACAUGCUCCAUGUAGAAAAGAAGCUGAUGCACCUCUCAUGCGUGCUACCUCAUCAAGUUCGAAACAUUUGAAAUUAGCCUAUUGGAAUGGGUAUUUGAUAUUUGUUGCUCUUUGCCCCCAUGCCUUUUCAUAGUCCUCUGUAUCCCUCUGUCUUCUUAGCUGGCUCAACUUCUAUGGUCAUUUUUAUCACUUGUUUGCCCUUUUGUUGUACUUGUUGGCAAACCACAGUCUGUAAGGUCCCGCUCUCUCCGUACUCUGCCCUUGUAUAUGGCCCCAAGAGGAACACAUAUCCAGGUCAACCGAUUUCACACUAAAUUCUUGACUACUGACCUCAAGCGAACCCUUAAUGUAGCCUAGAAUCCAGUCUACUUCUUUGUGCAUUCAUUCUCCUCUUCUCCUAAAGGACAAUUUUGUAUCUUCUCUCCCUGAACUUCCUGUACAUCCUUCCCCAGUCUCACUUACAGGUGAUGAACCUGCUGCUUUUUUCAGUAAAGAGAGAGAAGCAAUGAGAAGAGGACUGCCACAAGUCCCCACCACUUCUGCCCAGCCACCGGUAUCUGUGCGAUCAGAGCUCUAGGUCAGGCCUCUCCCUGUAGAUCACAGUAGAUCAGGGCUUCUCAACAGCUGUUUUGACAGUUGGGACUGAGUAACUCUUGGUCAUGGGGGUCGUUCUGUGCAUGGAAGGAUGCCUCACAGCGUCCCUGGCCUCUACCCACUUGAGGCCCCCGGCAUUCCUCCCCCCAGUUGUUGGCACCCAAAAUGUCCCCUGGCAGGGGGAGGUCUUGGGGGCCUUUUGGUAACAUUUGCAGGUACUUUUGGUUGUCCCAGCGUGGGUGCAAGGGUUGGUGUGCUAUUGGUGUCUGGGGGUAGAGACCAGGGAUGUGGUGAGAUCCUGCAGGGCACACGACAGGCCGCCGUGGCAAAGCUCUCCCAGUCCUGAAUGUUCCUAGUACUGUGGUUGAGAAGUCCUGUCCUAGAUGCACUGUCCACAUUUCUAUCAAAAUCCAGCCCGCCACCUCUUGUCUACUCCAGGAAAUCACUCCAGCAAGUCCCCUCCCUCCUACAUGACUAUUUACCUUCUCUGGCAUCACCUUCCCAUAAACUUACAAACAUGCUGCAGUUUCUCUCAGCGUUAAAAGGAACCCCUGAUCCCCUUUUGGCCUCUAGAUAGUUCAAUUUUUUUUUAAGACUUUAUUUAUUUACUUAUUUAUUUGACAGAGAGAGAGAGAGCA